GAUGAACGCUGGCGGCGUGCCUAAUACAUGCAAGUCGAGCGAACAGACGAGGAGCUUGCUCCUCUGACGUUAGCGGCGGACGGGUGAGUAACACGUGGAUAACCUACCUAUAAGACUGGGAUAACUUCGGGAAACCGGAGCUAAUACCGGAUAAUAUAUUGAACCGCAUGGUUCAAUAGUGAAAGACGGUUUUGCUGUCACUUAUAGAUGUAUCCGCGCCGCAUUAGCUAGUUGGUAAGGUAACGGCUUACCAAGGCAACGAUUCGUAGCCGACCUGAGAGGGUGAUCGGCCACACUGGAACUGAGACACGGUCCAGACUCCUACGGGAGGCAGCAGUAGGGAAUCUUCCGCAAUGGGCGAAAGCCUGACGGAGCAACGCCGCGUGAGUGAUGAAGGUCUUCGGAUCGUAAAACUCUGUUAUUAGGGAAGAACAAAUGUGUAAGUAACUAUGCACGUCUUGACGGUACCUAAUCAGAAAGCCACGGCUAACUACGUG
This 497-nucleotide ribosomal RNA is filed under the name uncultured bacterium. RNAcentral describes it as "partial 16S ribosomal RNA". It matches the Rfam family "Bacterial small subunit ribosomal RNA", at positions 28 to 507 of the family's 1533-position model. The record is from RNAcentral.